AGAGUUUGAUCCUGGCUCAGGACGAACGCUGGCGGCGUGCUUAACACAUGCAAGUCGAACGGAAAGGCCCUUCGGGGUACUCGAGUGGCGAACGGGUGAGUAACACGUGGGUGAUCUGCCCUGCACUUUGGGAUAAGCCUGGGAAACUGGGUCUAAUACCGAAUAUGACCAUGCGCCUCCUGGUGUGUGGUGGAAAGCUUUUGCGGUGUGGGAUGGGCCCGCGGCCUAUCAGCUUGUUGGUGGGGUAAUGGCCUACCAAGGCGACGACGGGUAGCCGGCCUGAGAGGGUGACCGGCCACACUGGGACUGAGAUACGGCCCAGACUCCUACGGGAGGCAGCAGUGGGGAAUAUUGCACAAUGGGCGCAAGCCUGAUGCAGCGACGCCGCGUGAGGGAUGACGGCCUUCGGGUUGUAAACCUCUUUCAGCACAGACGAAGCGCAAGUGACGGUAUGUGCAGAAGAAGGACCGGCCAACUACGUGCCAGCAGCCGCGGUAAUACGUAGGGUCCGAGCGUUGUCCGGAAUUACUGGGCGUAAAGAGCUCGUAGGUGGUUUGUCGCGUUGUUCGUGAAAACUCACAGCUUAACUGUGGGCGUGCGGGCGAUACGGGCAGACUAGAGUACUGCAGGGGAGACUGGAAUUCCUGGUGUAGCGGUGGAAUGCGCAGAUAUCAGGAGGAACACCGGUGGCGAAGGCGUGUCUCUGGGCAGUAACUGACGCUGAGGAGCGAAAGCGUGGGUAGCGAACAGGAUUAGAUACCCUGGUAGUCC
RNAcentral lists this ribosomal RNA (771 nucleotides) under uncultured bacterium. RNAcentral describes it as "bacterial SSU rRNA". It matches the Rfam family "Bacterial small subunit ribosomal RNA", at positions 8 to 796 of the family's 1533-position model. The record is from RNAcentral.